Molecule: non-coding RNA, 729 nt
Organism: Meleagris gallopavo (turkey)
Lineage: Eukaryota; Metazoa; Chordata; Aves; Galliformes; Phasianidae
Source: RefSeq, a predicted model, not a curated record
GUGGGGGAUCUUGCUGGCGGUUUCUGUGUACCUGUGGCCUUUUGAAGCACAUGGCCUAUAGUGCAAGGAGAAGUCACGCGUGGCGUUUCAUAAGGAUCGAGUGCUGGUGUGCGAUAAAUAACCAACAGAUGUGGAGAACCUAGGGGGAAAAAACAGCACAAAAGAGUCAUUGAAGACAUUACUUCCUGCACAGCUUUGCAGCAAGCAUGGAAUGGAAGAAAUUCUGCACCCCACGUGCUCGUGGCUGUGCAGGGAAUGGACAGCCACUGCUGCUUAUUGUUGCAGGAUAAGUUUUUUAAUGGCAAAUAAAUUAUUCAUCGGCAUGUAAAAUAAUACCCUCAGCCUUAACUAACGUGGUAGUAAAAAUAACCUCUGGCAAAGAGCUCCUACUUUCAAGGUUUGGUUCAUUAAUAAACAAUACGUGAGCAAGGAGGCACGGUGCAUCCUGGAAGGCCCAGUGAUGUGAUGCGGAGGGGUGGGGGUGAGUGUGAUGCGUGCAGCUGUCUGGGGGAAGCGCACCUUUCCUAGCGUGUAAGGCGUGUGUGCAAAUGCCAUGGAUAAUUAAUACAACAGUUACUUCAGCAGCAUCAAAAGCCAUGCUGUUUAAUUCAGCAUCCUAUGAGCGCUGGGUGACAGCGGAGAGGAGCAUUAUUUGUGGCAAUGAGUGACAGAGGGCAUCGAGCAUUCUUCUGCAAUGCUCUUGCAUCUCUCUGAUGGCACACUGGGUGC